UGGGGAAUAUUGGGCAAUGGGGGAAACCCUGACCCAGCAACGCCGCGUGAAGGAAGAAGGCCUUCGGGUUGUAAACUUCUUUUACCAGGGACGAAGAACGUGACGGUACCUGGAGAAAAAGCAACGGCUAACUACGUGCCAGCAGCCGCGGUAAUACGUAGGUUGCAAGCGUUGUCCGGAUUUACUGGGUGUAAAGGGCGUGUAGGCGGAGAUGCAAGUUGGGAGUGAAAUCCCGGGGCUCAACCCCGGAACUGCUUUCAAAACUGCAUCCCUUGAGUAUCGGAGAGGCAAGCGGAAUUCCUAGUGUAGCGGUGAAAUGCGUAGAUAUUAGGAGGAACACCAGUGGCGAAGGCGGCUUGCUGGACGACAACUGACGCUGAGGCGCGAAAGCGUGGGGAGCAAAC
RNAcentral lists this ribosomal RNA (404 nucleotides) under uncultured Oscillospiraceae bacterium. RNAcentral's name for it is "bacterial SSU rRNA". It matches the Rfam family "Bacterial small subunit ribosomal RNA", at positions 355 to 773 of the family's 1533-position model. The record is from RNAcentral. Lineage: Bacteria; Bacillati; Bacillota; Clostridia; Eubacteriales; Oscillospiraceae.